Molecule: long non-coding RNA, 447 nt
Organism: Ictalurus punctatus (channel catfish)
Lineage: Eukaryota; Metazoa; Chordata; Actinopteri; Siluriformes; Ictaluridae
Source: Ensembl
GCCAUAAAACACCAGAAGAAGAAGAAAAAUUCAGUGCAUGCUCUGUGAAUGGUUCGAAAAUUGUCACUUAUCAAACAUGGAUUCUUCCAUGUAUAUUCAGUUUUUAGUCCUGGUUUGCAGUGAAGAACAAGCUCAGGGCGAGCCAUCUCAGGACUGUGCUCAACAUUCUCACAAGCUCCACACUGGGAAGAGGUCUGAUCCAGGAAGUUUUCACAUUGCUCUAUGAAGUUGAGCAAGCCCGCCGUCUCACAAGAAUCAUUGAAGGCAAGAAACUCCAGUCAGAUGGGCGGUCAUCCAUAGAAUGAGGAUGCCACAUCUGAGGAGGAGGAAACAAUCUACAAUCACCCUCUCCAAUGUCUCCUGGGACCUUUGAAAAUUGUCUUACAUCUGUGCUAAGCUAGCAUCCACAGCGUCCCUGAAACUGGCUUGUUAAGUGUGCUGUUUAUG